RNAcentral lists this ribosomal RNA (424 nucleotides) under uncultured bacterium. RNAcentral's name for it is "bacterial SSU rRNA". It matches the Rfam family "Bacterial small subunit ribosomal RNA", at positions 42 to 475 of the family's 1533-position model. The record is from RNAcentral.
UCAGGCCUAACACAUGCAAGUCGAACGGUAACAGGUUAAGCUGACGAGUGGCGAACGGGUGAGUAAUGUAUCGGAACGUGCCCAGUCGUGGGGGAUAACUGCUCGAAAGAGCAGCUAAUACCGCAUACGACCUGAGGGUGAAAGCGGGGGAUCGCAAGACCUCGCGCGAUUGGAGCGGCCGAUAUCAGAUUAGGUAGUUGGUGGGGUAAAGGCCUACCAAGCCUACGAUCUGUAGCUGGUCUGAGAGGACGACCAGCCACACUGGGACUGAGACACGGCCCAGACUCCUACGGGAGGCAGCAGUGGGGAAUUUUGGACAAUGGGCGCAAGCCUGAUCCAGCCAUGCCGCGUGCGGGAAGAAGGCCUUCGGGUUGUAAACCGCUAUUGUCAGGGAAGAAAAGGUUCUGGCUAAUACCUGGGACUC